AUUGAACGCUGGCGGCAUGCUUUACACAUGCAAGUCGAACGGUAACAGGCCGCAAGGUGCUGACGAGUGGCGAACGGGUGAGUAAUACAUCGGAACGUGUCCUGGAGUGGGGGAUAGCCCGGCGACAGCCGGAUUAAUACCGCAUACGCUCUGAGGAGGAAAGCGGGGGAUCUUCGGACCUCGCGCUCACUGGGCGGCCGAUAGCAGCGUAGCUAGUAGGGGGGGUAAAGGCCUACCAAGGCGCCGAUCAGUAGCUGGUCUGAGAGGACGAUCGGCCACACGGGGACAUAGACACGGCCCAGACUCCUACGGGGAGCAGCAGUGGGGAAUGAUGGGCAAUGGGCGAAAGCCUGAUCCAGCAAUGCCUGGUGUGUGAAGAAGGCCUUCGGGUUGUAAAGCACUUUUGUCCGUAAAGAAAUGGCUCUGGGUAAUACCUGGGGUCGAUGGCGGUACCGGAAGAAUAAGGACCGGCUAACUACGUGCCAGCCGCCGCCGUAA
This 498-nucleotide ribosomal RNA is filed under the name uncultured bacterium. RNAcentral's name for it is "partial 16S ribosomal RNA". It matches the Rfam family "Bacterial small subunit ribosomal RNA", at positions 29 to 523 of the family's 1533-position model. The record is from RNAcentral.